RNAcentral lists this ribosomal RNA (402 nucleotides) under uncultured bacterium. Its description in RNAcentral is "bacterial SSU rRNA". It matches the Rfam family "Bacterial small subunit ribosomal RNA", at positions 954 to 1356 of the family's 1533-position model. The record is from RNAcentral.
UGGGAACGCGAAGAACCUUACCAGGUCUUGACAUCUGCCGGAUCCCGUAGAGAUACGGGAGUGCCCUUCGGGGAGGCGGCAAGACAGGUGGUGCAUGGUUGUCGUCAGCUCGUGUCGUGAGAUGUUGGGUUAAGUCCCGCAACGAGCGCAAUCCUUGUGAUUAGUUGCUACGCAAGAGCACUCUAAUCAGACUGCCGUUGACAAAACGGAGGAAGGUGGGGACGACGUCAAAUCAAUCAUGCCCCUUAUGAUCUGGGCUACACACGUACUACAAUGGCCGUCAACAGAGGGAAGCAAGACCGNGAGGUGGAGCGAACCCCUAAAAACGGUCUACAGUUCGGAUCGCAGGCUGAAACCCCGCCUGCGUGAAGCUGGAAUUGCUAGUAAUCGCGGAUCAUCAUG